This 528-nucleotide ribosomal RNA is filed under the name uncultured archaeon. RNAcentral describes it as "bacterial SSU rRNA". It matches the Rfam family "Archaeal small subunit ribosomal RNA", at positions 608 to 1134 of the family's 1478-position model. The record is from RNAcentral.
GUCAGCGGUAUUCCUGGGGUAGGGGCGAAAUCCAUUGAUCCCAGGAGGACCACCAGUGGCGAAGGCUGCUGACCAGAACACGCCUGACGGUGAGGGACAAAAGCUGGGGUAGCGAAUCGGAUUAGAUACCCGAGUAGUCCCAGCCGUAAACGAUGCAGGCUAGGUGUUGGGAUGGCCACGCGCCGCCCCAGUGCCACAGGGAAGCCAUUAAGCCUGCCGCCUGGGGAGUACGGCCGCAAGGCUGAAACUUAAAGGAAUUGGCGGGGGAGCACCACCAGGCGUGAAGCCUGCGGCUUAAUUGGAGUCAACGCCGGGAACCUUACCGGGAGCGACAGCAGAGUGAAGGCCAGGUUGAAGGUCUUGCCGGACGAGCUGAGAGGAGGUGCAUGGCCGUCGCCAGUUCGUGCCGUGAGGUGUCCUCUUAAGUGAGGUAACGAACGAGACCCGCGCCCCAUGUUGCCAGCAAAUCCUAAAGGGAUGUUGGGCACUCUUGGGGGACCGCAGCCGACAAGGCUGAGGAAGGUGCGG